Molecule: ribosomal RNA, 517 nt
Filed under: uncultured bacterium
Lineage: Bacteria
Description: bacterial SSU rRNA
Rfam family: Bacterial small subunit ribosomal RNA
Source: RNAcentral
CGAGCAUGCCGCGUGAGUGAUGAAGGUCUUCGGAUCGUAAAGCUCUGUUGUAAGCGAAGAACGGUCCGCAUAGGAAAUGAUGCGGGAGUGACGGUAGCUUACCAGAAAGCCACGGCUAACUACGUGCCAGCAGCCGCGGUAAUACGUAGGUGGCAAGCGUUAUCCGGAAUCAUUGGGCGUAAAGGGUGCGUAGGUGGCGGAUUAAGUCCGUAGUAAAAGGCAUUGGCUCAACCAAUGUAAGCUAUGGAAACUGGUCGGCUGGAGUGCAGAAGAGGGCGAUGGAAUUCCAUGUGUAGCGGUAAAAUGCGUAGAUAUAUGGAGGAACACCAGUGGCGAAGGCGGUCGCCUGGUCUGCAACUGACACUGAGGCACAAAAGCGUGGGGAGCAAAUAGGAUUAAAUACCCUAGUAGUCCACGCCGUAAACGAUGAGAACUAAGUGUUGGAGAGAUUCAGUGCUGCAGUUAACGCAAUAAGUUCUCCGCCUGGGGAGUAUGCACGCAAGUGUGAAACUCAAAG